This 645-nucleotide ribosomal RNA is filed under the name uncultured bacterium. RNAcentral's name for it is "bacterial SSU rRNA". It matches the Rfam family "Bacterial small subunit ribosomal RNA", at positions 144 to 803 of the family's 1533-position model. The record is from RNAcentral.
UAACAUUUGGAAACAGAUGCUAAUACCGCAUAAGAUUACAGUACCGCAUGAUACAGUGAUCAAAGGAGCAAUCCGCUGAAAGAUGGGCUCGCGUCCGAUUAGAUAGUUGGUGAGGUAACGGCUCACCAAGUCGACGAUCGGUAGCCGGACUGAGAGGUUGAACGGCCACAUUGGGACUGAGACACGGCCCAGACUCCUACGGGAGGCAGCAGUGGGGAAUAUUGCACAAUGGGCGAAAGCCUGAUGCAGCAACGCCGCGUGAGGGAAGACGGUUUUCGGAUUGUAAACCUCUGUUUUCGGUGACGAAUAAAUGACGGUAACCGAGUAGGAAGCCACGGCUAACUACGUGCCAGCAGCCGCGGUAAUACGUAGGUGGCAAGCGUUAUCCGGAAUUACUGGGUGUAAAGGGAGCGCAGGCGGGAUAGCAAGUCAGCUGUGAAAACUAUGGGCUCAACCCAUAGAUUGCAGUUGAAACUGUUAUUCUUGAGUGGAGUAGAGGCAAGCGGAAUUCCGAGUGUAGCGGUGAAAUGCGUAGAUAUUCGGAGGAACACCAGUGGCGAAGGCGGCUUGCUGGGCUCUAACUGACGCUGAGGCUCGAAAGUGUGGGGAGCAAACAGGAUUAGAUACCCUGGUAGUCCACACUGU